This 450-nucleotide ribosomal RNA is filed under the name uncultured bacterium. RNAcentral describes it as "partial 16S ribosomal RNA". It matches the Rfam family "Bacterial small subunit ribosomal RNA", at positions 354 to 796 of the family's 1533-position model. The record is from RNAcentral.
GUGGGGAAUUUUGGACAAUGGGCGAAAGCCUGAUCCAGCAAUGCCGCGUGUGUGAAGAAGGCCUUCGGGUUGUAAACUGCUUUUGUACGGAACGAAACGGCUCUGGUUAAUACCCGGGGCUAAUGACGGUACCGUAAGAAUAAGCACCGGCUAACUACGUGCCAGCAGCCGCGGUAAUCCGUAGGGUGCAAGCGUUAAUCGGAAUUACUGGGCGUAAAGCGUGCGCAGGCGGUUGUGUAAGACAGGCGUGAAAUCCCCGGGCUCAACCUGGGAAUUGCGCUUGUGACUGCACAGCUGGAGUGCGGCAGAGGGGGAUGGAAUUCCGCGUGUAGCAGUGAAAUGCGUAGAUAUGCGGAGGAACACCGAUGGCGAAGGCAAUCCCCUGGGCCUGCACUGACGCUCAUGCACGAAAGCGUGGGGAGCAAGCAGGAUUAGAAACCCGGGUAGUCC